GGCGGGAGGGCGGUGAAUACAAUACCCUUUGCGGGGGAAUAAACCCGCCUGUCUUCGUCAGGUUUCGAACCUCCCGCUCGCCAGUG
Non-coding RNA from Pseudovibrio sp. FO-BEG1, 86 nucleotides. The record is from Rfam. Lineage: Bacteria; Pseudomonadati; Pseudomonadota; Alphaproteobacteria; Hyphomicrobiales; Stappiaceae.